This 403-nucleotide ribosomal RNA is filed under the name bacterium. Its description in RNAcentral is "partial 16S ribosomal RNA". It matches the Rfam family "Bacterial small subunit ribosomal RNA", at positions 355 to 776 of the family's 1533-position model. The record is from RNAcentral.
UGGGGAAUAUUGCACAAUGGGGGAAACCCUGAUGCAGCGACGCCGCGUGAACGAAGAAGGUAUUCGUAUCGUAAAGUUCUGUCCUAUGGGAAGAUAAUGACAGUACCAUAGAAGAAAGCUCCGGCUAAAUACGUGCCAGCAGCCGCGGUAAUACGUAUGGAGCGAGCGUUGUCCGGAAUUAUUGGGCGUAAAGGGUACGCAGGCGGUUUAAUAAGUCGAAUGUUAAAGAUCGGGGCUCAACCCCGUAAAGCAUUGGAAACUGAUAAACUUGAGUAGUGGAGAGGAAAGUGGAAUUCCUAGUGUAGUGGUGAAAUACGUAGAUAGUAGGAGGAAUACCAGUAGCGAAGGCGACUUUCUGGACACAAACUGACGCUGAGGUACGAAAGCGUGGGGAGCAAACAGG